RNAcentral lists this ribosomal RNA (536 nucleotides) under uncultured bacterium. Its description in RNAcentral is "bacterial SSU rRNA". It matches the Rfam family "Bacterial small subunit ribosomal RNA", at positions 8 to 518 of the family's 1533-position model. The record is from RNAcentral.
AGAGUUGAUCAGUGGCUCAGGACGAACGCUGGCGGCGUGCCUAACACAUGCAAGUCGGACGGGGAUUUGUUCGGCAGAAUCCUAGUGGCGAACGGGUGAGUAACGCGUAGGCAACCUGCCCGUCCGGCCGGGGGACAACGAACUCCGAAAGGGGUGCUAAUACCGGAUACGAAGUCUGUGCCGCAUGGUACGGAUUUGAAAGAUGGCCUCUAUUUAUAAGCUAUCGCCGGGGGAUGGGCCUGCGUCCGAUUAGCUGGUUGGUGGGGUAACGGCCUACCAAGGCGACGAUCGGUAGCCGGUCUGAGAGGAUGAACGGCCACAUUGGGACUGAGACACGGCCCAGACUCCUACGGGAGGCAGCAGUGGGGAAUCUUCCGCAAUGGGCGCAAGCCUGACGGAGCAACGCCGCGUGAAGUGAGGAAGUUCUUCGGAACGUAAAGCUCUGUUGUUCCUGACGAACCUCCCCUCUAUCAACAACGGAGGGGACUGACGGUAGGGAACGAGGAAGCCACGGCUAACUACGUGCCAGCAGCAGC